Molecule: long non-coding RNA, 11330 nt
Filed under: Nicotiana tabacum (common tobacco)
Lineage: Eukaryota; Viridiplantae; Streptophyta; Magnoliopsida; Solanales; Solanaceae
Description: long non-coding RNA (NTAB_LNC010811)
Source: RNAcentral
UAUAAUUCUCAUUCCCAUUGUAGUUUCCCUGUCACCUGGUUUUUUGUUGUAUAUUCCAGCAGUUUGUUUUGGUAUAUUCAUAUCAGAGGUAUAUCGUUGUAAUAAUUGUCUGCACCGUGUAGUUUACCAUAUUCUGCUUCUUGAUGUUUUUCUGCUUAAUAACAGUCAUAAUGUUUCAGGAUAUGUUUGUUGGUGAGAUCCUUGGAGCAGUAGUAGCUGGAGAUCUCUCUGCACUAAAAUCAACCUUUGAAGUCAAGAAGUUGAAAGUCAGUGCUACAGGAGCUGAAUCUGAAGAUGGUGAAAUAAUUAUGGACAAGGAGUAUGGAAAAGCAGUAAAAGUAUUGGAAAAUCUGGAUCCAUCAGCUUAUUACAAUCUUUUUGCAAAACGACUUGGGGAUGAAAAGCAGUCCGCUGUAAUUGGAAGCUUCAAUGAGCAGAGAAGAAUUUGGAGUGUACCAUCUGUCUAAACCUUGGUCGGCAACUUAAUAUAAAUGGGACUUAUCGGUGACAUAAAUCGGAUUCAUGAAACCUUAGCACUAUUUAGUUUGUUUAGAGAGAGGUCAAGAUUUGUGGAGACGUUAAGUAUUAGGAUCCAGAGGAGAUAUUUCCAUAUAAUGUGUUUGGAUAGUGAAUUUAGAAAAACAAAAACUUCCUAGCAUCUUUCAACAACUUCCACUCAUCCUUCUUCAGUUUGAGAUACGGCUCCACUGGAAUGGCCUUUUCUGUAAACUCUUUUUUCUUGAAUAAACCACUCCUAAUUGUACAGUGAGUAUAAUUGCUAGAAAAUGAAAAUGGAUAACUGGAAAUGCCCCCAAAAGAAGAGGAGGCCACUGCUAAAGUUACAGGCCUGGUUGUAUCUAUGACCAUCCAGCUAAAACAAGGGAAUGCUCAAGCCCAGUGGUUUGCAGCCACAAACGAUUCCAUUCUAUUUGAAGCGCUUAUGAGAUUCUCAGAAGAAGGAAAACAGAGUUCCUUGGUUUAAAUUGGGCGGUGAAAGAGUAAUAUACCAUGCUAUAACUGCAUCUAAUCAUCAUCAGUACUAGUAUGCACCAGCAGGACAGUGUUCCAAACACAUUCAGAAUACUGACUGAAGUUAUAGAAAUCUUCCAAGAGCUGUGCAUCCCUGGGUGCAUAUGAUUUGUUAUUCCUACAUUGUAUAAAUAUAUACAGUUGCUAUGGUGGUAAUAAAUCAAGCAAUAUUGUUUGGCAUUUUCAUAUUUGAUGUAAACUAAGAGUACACCAAACUGUAUAGAGAACCAUAUUCCCUAUCAGUUCUCACAGUAAGCAACAGACCGUAAAACUAAACAAUAUAGGGAACCAAGUUCUCUAUCUGUUCCCACGGUAAAUCGGCAGUAAAUAAAGAACACGCGAUAUUUACGUGGAAAACUUCUUUGCUCAAGGGAUUAAAAACUACGGCCUACCCUAGUAGGAUUUCAACUCCAUUAAACCAAACAAACUUCAGAUUACAAUCUAUUGCAAUCUAGGAAUUAAACUUUUAAUCACUCACCCCCUACAAUAACUAUAUAGUAAGCCCUUUGCAAUAACUCUAUUACAAAGCAACAAACCUUGACUAACUCUAGUCAAGAAACUAAACCAAACAGUGGUUUAAAUUUGUCCUACAAAAACACUUCUUGAAAGUAGUGUAAGAUUACAAAUAAAGAACAAAAUAACAAUGUAACGACCCGGCGGGUCGUUUCGAGAGUUGUAGCCCCGUUCCCCCAUUUUCUGCCCUUUUUGUGCUCUACAGCUAUUAUAUGACUUAACGGGUUGGUUGGUUCGGUUCGGAAAGAUUUCAAAGCGAAUUGAGACACUUAGUCUCUUAAUUGAAAGUUUAAGUUGGAAAAGUUGACCGGAUGUUGACUUAUGUGUAAACGAUCUCGGAUUUAAAUUUUGAUGGUUCUAUUAGCUCCGUUAGGUGAUUUCGGGCUCAGGAGCAUGUCCGGAUUGUGAUUUGGAGGUCCGUAGUAGAAUUAUGCUUGAAAUUACGGAAGUUGAAUUUUGGAAAGUUUGACUGAGAGUGGACUUUUUGAUAUCAGGGUCAGAUUGGAUUUCCAGAAGUUGGAGUACGUUCGUGGUAUCAUUUAUGACUUGUGUGCAAAAUUUGAGGUCAAUCGGACGUGCUUUGAUGGGUUUCGACGUCGUUUAUUGAAUUUGGAAAUUUCAAAGUUCAUUAGGCUUGAAUCCGUGUGUAAUUCGUAUUUUUGAUGUUGUUUGAGGUGAUUUGAAGAUUCGGCUAAGUUCGUAUGAUGUUUUAAGACAUGAUGGUAUAUUUGGUCGAGGUCCCGGGGGCCUCGGGUUGAUUUUGGGUGAUUAACGGAUCAAGUUUUGAAGUUGUAAGCUUGCUGAACAUUUUCCAAUGCUGGUGUAAUCGCCUAUGUGGAGUGGGAACAGCAGGUGCGAGCUCGCAGAAGAGGGAAGUAAGCCGCAAAAGCGGCCAAGGAAGUGAGGCAGCAGAAGGUUGCAGGUACGAUUGUUUUCCCGCCCCUGUGUGACCGCAGAUGCGACAGAAGGACCGCAGAAGAGGAUUUGGCCUUGUAGCUUGACUAUGCAGAAACGAAGAUUUGUCUCGCAGAAGCGAGUCCGCAGGAGCGGAAAUUUGGACGCAGGAGCAGAAUUAGCCGCAGAAGCGGGCUCUGAGGCGCACCUGCGAGACCGCAGAAGCGGCUAAGUUGCCACAUGUGCGGAAAGCCUGGGCAGAAAUUAUAAAUACGAGGGUGAGAUUUUUCACCAUCUCUAUCAUUUUGAGCUCGGAUUUUGGAGGUUUUGAGCGAAUUUUCAAGAGGGAUUCUUGAGGUAAGCUCUUUGUGUUUAUUUUUCUUCAAUAAUUAUGUUUCCCCACUAAUUUUCUAUCUACUUGGUGCGUUCUUGAGGUGAAAUUUGGGGGUUUGAGGCGAGGGAUUUGGGGAGUGAAUUUUGGGGAUUUGAAUGACCAUUUGGUGUCGGAUUUUGGUAAAUUUGGUAUGGUUAGACUUGGGAGUGAAUGGGCUUUCGGAUUUUGUGACUUUUGUCGGAUUUCAAGAUGUGUGCCCGGGGACCAGGUUUUAGCCGAUUUCGGAUUUUUGUUAUAAUUUUGUAUUUUUCUUGUGGAAUUGAUUCCUUUAGCCCGUAUUGAUUGUAAUGUACAGUUUGUGGCUAGAUUCGGGAUUUUUGGAGGCCGACUUGCGAGGCAAAAGAAGUAUUGGAGUAGAGUCUUGGCUCAGAUUGAGGUAAGUAACAGUUUUAAAUAUGGUUCUGAGGGUAUGAAACCCCAAAUUUAUGCGUUAUGUGAUUGUUUUGGAGGUGACACACAUGCUAGGUGACGGGCGUGUGGACGUGCACCGUGAGAAUUGUGACUUGGUCCAUUCCGUGAGACUGAAAAGUUGAAUAAACUUGUUGUUAGCUAUAUGAUCUCCGUGUGUUAUAGAAAUUUGACCGUAAAUCAUGUUAGAAAUCAUGUUUAGGUUAUGUGUUGGUAUUAUAGGGGCCCACAUAGGCCGUGAUACCUGUUGAAUUACUUGCUAAUUGCUAUUUGUACUCAGUUGUAGUCUUAUAUGCAUAUUUUACCUCAGUCUCUGCUAUUCCUUGUUGAUACGUUAUAUCAUUUCUAUUUUGGGCUAAUUUCCAUGAUUACUGAGAGCCCGUGAGACUAGAGAGGUUGAUGACUGAGUGAGGCUGAGGGCCUGAUAGUGAGAUAUUGAUACCAUAACACGUGAGUUGUUCGUGGAUCCAGAUAUUUAUACUGUAUCACUUGAGUUGCACGUGCGGAUCCUGAUAUGAUACUAUAGCACGUGAGUUGUCUGUGUAGAUCCUGAUAUGAUAUUAUAUCACGUGAGUUGUCCGUGCAGAUUAUAGCGCUUGGGCUGUAGGAGCCCCUACAGAGUCUGUACACCCCCAGUGAGUGCAGGUACCUAUUGAGUGUGAGUGUUGAGAGCUAAGAGCCGAGUGAUUGAGCUAUUGAGAAAGAUUGAGUGACUGUUGCCCUGAGAGACUGUACUUGCUUUCAUUGUUGUUGUACUUAGCUUCUAUAUGUCACUGUUUGAAACUCCUGAGAGAUUUUAUAUCCAAUUUUUACUUGAACUUGACAAUGUAUAAACUGAUUUGACUUAAAUUGCCGGAUUUGAAAGCAUGUCUACUUUCUUGUUGAGAUUGUUGAAAAUGAACUAUAACUAUGUAGCUCGUUAUUAUCUUUGAGUUCCUUAUUUAUUAUUGUUACUUACUGAGUUGGUUAUACUCACACUACACCAUGUACUUCGUGUGCAGAUCCAGGUAUUUUCGAACACGAUGGGCGUUGAUAUCGUGCACGGUUGAUCUACGGAGAUUUACGUGAUAGCUGCCCGACGUCCGCAGUCCUUGUUUCUUCUUCCUUAUAUUUCUUUAUUUGUACUUUGAUACAGACUCUCAUAGACAUUUCUUUCUAGACUGGUUGUAUAGAUUCUCAUGAGCUCAGUGACACCCUGAUUUGAGAGUUAUGUUUCCGCACUUGUGUUUGGGUUGUUACCCUGUUUUUUGUUAUGAAAACUCUGGAUAUUCAAAAAUUCUUAAUUUAUUAUCUGUUAAAUGUUGGAAGUAUUUUGGAAAUGUCGGCUUGCCUAGUACCAUGAUAGGCGCCAUCACGAUGGAUUAGAAUUUGGGUCGUGACAAACAGACUCAACAAACCUAAGGACUUAAGAUAUCUUCAAUCUCUGGAUCUGGUCCUUGGGGUUGUAGCAGCUUUGUUCUUGAAAGAGGUGGUAGCUAACACUUGAGAGAGAAAAAUCAAUUUUAGGUUUUGCAAGUGUUAUAAAAUAAAAUCCCUUGCCUCAUAUUGGUAAUAUGUAUGUGUGAGGUUAUCAAGGAUGAUGCAAUAAAGUGUCCUUAGUUUGGCCUUAGCAAGCAACAGAUGUGCUGCUGUACUAUUGCCAGACGGUACAGUGCAGUAGCUUUUACAACUGCCGAGUUGACUGCAUGGCAACCAGGGGAACUAAUCCCUAUAUGUUUCCUCUACUGUUCCCUUAUCUGAUUUCAUUGAGAAUUGAACCAAAUAUCUGACUAGUUAUUCUGAACGCAAGGGAACUAAUAGUAUCAUGUUCCUUAUCUGGUUCUCUCAUGGAGUUUGUCAAAUUAUCAAAACAAAAGAUGCAUAACUUAUUCUUUUCUGAUGGUGACAAACUUAGAAUUGAUAUUCCCCCUGAGAACAAGAUCUCCACAUUGUUUCCCCUAUGAAUCAACCAUAUUCCCCCGAGAACCUUUUUUAUCCCUUUCAAUUUUCAUUGUGCGACGACCAAGGGAACUGAUACCUAUCUGGUUUCUCGAGAACGUUUGGCAAUUCAUUAAAACACGAAAUAGCAUAACUUAUCAAUUUCUCCCUUUUGAAUAAUGACAAACCCAAAAUUGAUAUUCCCCUUUAGAACCAGAUUCCUUACAUGUACUGAUCAUAUCUAGUCCCUAUCUGGUUCCUCGAGAAAUGUUUGGCAAAUCAUCAAGAUACGAAAUAGCAUAACUUAUUAAUUUUUUCCUUUUUGAUGAUGACAAACCCAAAAUUGAUAUUCCCCCUGAGAACCAGAUUCCUUACAUAUUUCCCGUACGGAUCAGACCUAUAAUCGACAUGUUAACAAUAAUGUUCCCCCUGAGAAGUAGGCCUAUCUUUCAUGCACAAUACAUCAUAUCAAUUCAAUUCUGUUCCUCCCCUUGUUGACACCUAUGUAACUUUCCCCUUUUGGCAUUAUUGAAAAAAAAUUAGACAAGUAAAUGCAAAAAGAAGUCCAACAAAGUUAAUGCAUGUCACUUGUGUGCACACAACAUUGCUAAAAAUAGAACACAAGAGUAUAACAUACGUUAAUAGAUGACGAUGCUCAUUAAGUUACAAAAAGAAGAAACAUUGUAUCAGUACCAUAAUUACCAACAUACACAAGUCAAACAAAACUAGAGUACCACAUUCGAAAGGAAAGGACAACAAAAAGACACAGUAGGAUUAAACAUGAGCUGGCAAAGAGGUAAUAUAGGGGAUACUGGAUGGAGAGGGGAAGGACUAGAAAGCAAUGGCUUUGAGGAGGCUGUCCAUGCAAGCAUCAAUAGCACUUUGAUCGUUGAUUAGCUGCUCUUUUAGGGGACACUGCUCUUUUCAGCUUUCAUACGGGCAAGAUCUUCUCCCUAGGUAUUGCUGGAACUAGGUUCCUCAUUGUUACUUGGCCUCUUUCUGAGAGGCUUCUUUUUCUCAAUAGAGUUCUUCUUCUCAACCUCUUGCUCACAACCAACUUCAGCAACCUUUGCAGAUAGAACCUUCUUUUGUUUCACAGAGACUACUUUCUUAGAUGAUUUUUUGAAAAGAGGAGCAAGUUCCUGAGUUGUCUCCUCAUUCUCAACCUCUAUAACAUCUGCCGAAGGCACAUCCUCCUUAUCAACGAGUCUACUUGUAAGCACAUGAUUUUUGCUUCACGGGAAUUACUCCAAAAGAAAAGAAAAUCAAAAAUAUAUGCAUAAGUGUUUCUUGUCAUUGGUUGAUUUUUAUUAAAUGUUAAUCUGUGGGUGUAUAAUUUUACUUUGUUUUAUUUAGGAGUUUUGUGUUUAAAUUAAAAUAAAAAAAAAAGCAAAAGAAAAUGAGGAUACUCGGAUUGGGCCAAAAGUUAAAACAAUAGGCCCAAACCAUGUCCACCAUCCGGUCCAAACCAGGCCUGCCCAGGCACGUCCCGAAAACGACGCCGUAUAAGGCGUCUAAUCUGAGCCAUCCGUCCAGGCCAAUCCAACGGCCCAGGAUUCCUUUUCAGUAACCCAUUUCCAAACCCGACCCGGUAACCAGUUCGAACCGACCCCCCAACCAAGGCCAAACGGUGUCGUUCCGUAUUAAGUGAAAGAUCCUGGCCAUCAAUCUCGAUUCAUCCAACGGCCAGAAUCUAAUUACCUGUUACAUAUAUAAGCCUAACCCUUUACCUAGCCUCAACUAUUUCCCCAAUUUUGAUUGCUUCCGAGAAGGAUUUGCCAACUGCGGACAUCAUGUUUUGAAAAUAAUCUAGCUCUUGUUCCUGAAUGACAGUGAUUAGCUCGUGGUCAUCGAUAGGUGGCUUAACUCUAGCCGCUUGCUCUCUCUAUUUAAUGGCAUAUUCCCUGAAACUUUCAGUUAGUUUCUUCUUCAAGUUUAAAAGGAAAUUGCUAUCUGGGGCGAUGUCGAUGUUGUAUUGGAACUGUUUAACAAAGGCCUGGGCCAUGUCAUCCCAGACAUGCCAGAAAGAUGUGUCUUCAUCCAUAAACUAUUCGGAGGCUACUCCCAUAAGGCUUUCCCCAAAAUAGGCCAUUAGUAAUUCUUCCUUUCCUCCCGCACCUCUUAGUUGAUUGCAAUACCUUUUCAGGUGGGCUAUGGGAUAUCCAUGUCCAUCAUACUUUUCAAAUUUGGGAAUCUUGAAACCAAGUGGCAAACGAACAUCGUGGAACAUACAUAGAUCUUUGAAGGCAAUACUCUUUUGACCUGCCAACCCUUGCAUGUUUUUCAACAGUUGUUCUAAGUUUUUCAUUCUUUGGGUUAUUUCUUCCUGUUCCAUCUUUCGAGCAGGUUUCUCAAUCUUUGCAAGAAGAUCAAAUAGGUACGAGUGUUACUCAGGAGAGUGGUACUGUUCUUGCUGGGUAGCAAAUUGUGACUCUUGAGUUUUCCUCUGCACCACCGUCGACUGUGGGAUAGUGAAGACGGGCAUAACAAUAGUGGUUUUCUUAUUGGUUGUCGAUGGCACACUUUGGAAGCGCGCAACAAAAGUUCCAACUGUGACCGUACAGUUGGGAUAAAUACUGAACCUAGGUGGAUAGGAUUGAUCAGACAAUGAGACCUGAGUGGUAGUAGUCGAGAUGGGUGUGAACUCUGGGAAANNNNNNNNNNNNNNNNNNNNNNNNNNNNNNNNNNNNNNNNNNNNNNNNNNNNNNNNNNNNNNNNNNNNNNNNNNNNNNNNNNNNNNNNNNNNNNNNNNNNNNNNNNNNNNNNNNNNNNNNNNNNNNNNNNNNNNNNNNNNNNNNNNNNNNNNNNNNNNNNNNNNNNNNNNNNNNNNNNNNNNNNNNNNNNNNNNNNNNNNNNNNNNNNNNNNNNNNNNNNNNNNNNNNNNNNNNNNNNNNNNNNNNUAACAUGACUUCGAUGUCAGUUGUCAAUGGAAUUUUCCCCUUAGAUCUUGUGUUUCCAACUUACCACAAACCGGCCACCUCAAACUUUCUUUACAAUUCAAAACAAGAGACACGUUAGAAUGGACUCAGUCAAUUAUUAUCAAGGUUUUUUUCCUUUUUUUAGUCGAUCGAACCUGAUGUGGGUUGCCUACAUAUCAUGUGAAAACAUGAAUCAGAUCUUUGCGUAGUUUGGGAAGAUCAGGAAUAAAAUAAAUAAACUAACUCUUUUUUUGGAUUUUGAAUUUUUCUUUUUUUAUUAUUUUUAAUUUCCGAGAGAAAGACUUAUAAAGAAGAAAGAAAAUAUUUUUGGAUUUCAAUUUGUUUGUUUUUUUUAGAAUUUUUGAAAAUAAAGACUUCUAAAGAAGAAAGAAAAUAUUUUUUUUGAAUUACGGUUUUUUUUCGUUUGGAAUUUCGAAAGAAGAAAGAAUUUUUUUUUGAUUUUCGAACUUUUAUUUUGAAUUUAUGAAAGAAAGAAUUCUAAAGAAAAAAGAAAGUAUUUUUGUAUCUUUACUUUUCUUUUUAAUUUUCGAAAGAAAAACUUCUGAAGAAGAAUAAUAUUUUUGGAUUUUGAGAAGAAAUUAAAAGAAUUUUUUUUUUUAGAUUUUUAAAAAAAAAUUGGAGUCUCAAAAAAGAAUUUUCUAAAGAAGGAAGUAAAGGAAAAUACUUUUGGAUUUUUUUUUGAAAAUUGUGGGCCAGAGCCGAUGAGGUUUGCCUACGUAUCUCACAUCCGGUGAGAAUCAGACUUGCGUAGUUCGGUCAGUUUUGACAUAAUCGGAAAAUCACGAUAUUGACUCAUUUUGAAAUGACUCUUUUUUUAGAAAUUCAUUUUUCAUUUUUUUUCUUUUCAAAAAUUUUGACAGAGUUUCGGGAUAUUUUUCAAAUAUUGGGGUUUUCAGAACCUGGCAAAUUUUCUCUCCUACCUCACUCUUGGUUUUUCUCUUGAUUUUAUUCCUUAGCCAAUAAACAAGCAAGCCGAAGCAAAUAAAUGCAUAAAUAGCACGUAAGAAGCAUCAGAAUGGGCUUUUGUUUUGGGUAAACCUGUCCUAGACGGACCCAACCCCUAUAUUGAGUCCCCAAAGUCAAAUGCACGUGAUGCAAACAGACGUUCCUACUAGGGAUCCAACAUGAGGCUAUGUUAUUUUAGGUUUAAACCUAGGGGUGUGUUCUAGACAUGGCUUACCCAAGCGGACAGCUUGAGCCGAGGCGGGGGCAAUGAACCGGGAACACGAAAGUCUACCCAACCUAGUUGCUGAUCCAGCCUCGUUAUAUUUGGUACGACCUCUAACAAAAAAGUAGGCCAUGCAUAUGUGUGCACCAUAUUUUAGAAGAUUCAGAAGGGAGGCGUAAGAGGGCAGUUUAUACAGUUCAAAUAAUAAUAAAGCGGUAAAUGAGCAGCAAUUAGCACAUUAGUCCCACAAACACAGUAAUAUCAAUAAUAAAGAAAGUCAAGUAUAUAUCACAUUACAAGCUCGAAUUUUGAACCCUGAACCAGAGAUUCUGGGUUCGUUCCCCAGCAGAGUCGCCAGAGCUGUCAUAUCUUUUUUCCCCGAGGAAUAGAGAGUUUUUCCAAUUAAAGUGACAUUAAUCAAAAUAGAAUUAUUUAUUAGAUUCAGAGUCGCCACUUGGGAUAAUUAUAUGGUGUCCCAAGUCACCGAUUUAUUUUAAAUCCCAUACAGAGGAAAUUUGACUCUGUUUUAAAGUCCACAAAACCAGAAGACCGGGUAAGGAAUUUUAUUAACCCGGAAGAAGGUGUAAGGAACUCCUUGAUUCCGUAGUUUUAGCAUGGUCUCUUUACAAUCAUAUACCUAGCUUAAUUAACGGAUUAUUACGUGUUUAUGAACCUAUGUGCGUUUUACCUUCUACCGCUUUUAAUUGCUUGAUUAUUCGUUAUUAUGGAAUCAUCUUGGAACGAGUUACGCGUACAUGUACUCUUUUUGUUUAGUGUAUCCAGAAUCAUAUCACGCGUACGUGUACACAAUUAAUAACACUUUAUUAUUAUUAAGAUGGUUUGGCCAAAGUCGCGCAAAUGCAUGCUUUGUCUUUAAUUUAGAAAAAUCAUAACUACGUCACUCAAACAUGUACAUAAUCAUGAUAAUUGAUUUAUUAAUACGUCCCUAAAGCAAACUACGAUAUUUAAAAGUGACUAUUCAUUAUGGAUAAUAAGUAUUAUAGAGUUAUUAACAUUAUCCUUUUUUGUCUGUCACAGUCCAAAUGACCUAACCUAUUAUGGCUCUUCUUUAUUAUACUAUCGUUGCCCAUUCCAAAACUAUUUUGUCUCAGAGUCUUAUUGAAGCUAAGGGCAUAUGAUACAAUAAAAAGAUCAAAAUGAGAAAAUAUUCACAAGAAAGCUAAGAAAAGAAACUAGUACAACAAUUAAUAAAAAAGAUACUAUCCAAGAUAUAUUUACUAUUUAAAAUAAUUGAAAAUGAAAUGGAUCUUUCAUAGCUUUAUAUAUGAUAGAAAUAAACAACCAACAUUCUGAGGCAUUUAAUGAGCUGAAUGUAUUUCACAUUAUUUAACAAACUAACAAAGAGAAAGAAAGAGUGAUAAGAGAUCGAGAAACGGACCUCUGUGAACUCAGAAAAUAUUGAAACGAAGCUCGAUAACGAACUUCGAACAGAGACUAGAUGGAGACCUCGACAGAGUCCGACUACUCGACUAAUUCUCGCGGGACUGAAUGGGUUUUAAAUAUCUAGUUUCGAUACUGUUUGGCGUCAAUUUUGACUGAUUUUUGUCGAGUUUUUGAGGUGUUUGGCAGCUCCCUAUGACAACCUGGAUUUUGGGGAUUUUUAGGGCUAUUUUGAAGGGAGGAAAACUUUGGAUGGUGUUGAGGCUGCUGAUUUGGUAGUGAUGAUGGGGAAAUUUUAGUUAGGUUUUUAGUGGUUAAAGGUUAGAUGGGGUUGGGUAGAGGCUGACUUCAGGUUGUCAUAGGGAGCUGCCGUUCUUCUUCAUUGAGAAAGAAGAUGGAGAUCCUCCAUUUUUGGAGGUCCAGUCAGUUUUUCCAGUGUGUUUUGUCUCUGUUUUUCCUCUGUAUUUGUGUUUUUUUUAAGUUGAGAAAGAAAAUAUCAAAAUCAAAAAGGGGGUUGGGCGUUCUUGGUUUCUUUUUGUUUGUUCCCUUUCUUUGUGCUCUGUUUUCUCUCCAAAAUUCCCCCGUCCGUCUCCUUUUCUUUUGCGUGUGUGUGUUUUAUAUGGGUGAGGAUGGUGAAUCGAAAGAAUAUUUUGUGAGUGGGACAGGG